Molecule: non-coding RNA, 97 nt
Submitted as: unclassified sequences
Source: Rfam
ACAAUGAUACUUCCGUCCAGUCCCAGCCCCCGGUGGUUCGGGGAUCAAGCAAGGAGGGCGGCCGACAGAGAUCCUGCCGGGGGUGAGACUCCCAUGA